This 599-nucleotide unclassified non-coding RNA is filed under the name Hevea brasiliensis (rubber tree). The record is from RNAcentral. Lineage: Eukaryota; Viridiplantae; Streptophyta; Magnoliopsida; Malpighiales; Euphorbiaceae.
GCCAUACUGAUCAAACCAUGAUGGGGCCAUCUGGUGACUGAUCUGAGACUGUUCAGUUCUCACAGGUACUGCACUACAAUUAGCAAAAUUCUGAGUAUCAUUGUGACCAAGUCCAAGCAUGCCCUGAGAAGGCAUAUUUGUAUCCGGAACAUCCGUCAGUCUUGCCGGAAAGCUUAGCAUCUUAGAAUCUCUUGUGGGAAUCGAAUCACAAUUUGUUGAUGCAUCCCUGACCAUAUUGUGACCAUAGAACUGCUGUCCUCCUGGGGGGCCUAUCUGCUGAGCAUCCAUGGCACCAUCAGGAACUUUAAAUCUCUUCAAACUGCUAUUGUCUGGAUCUACCUCUUCAUUUUUCAUGCCCUGCACUUGACGCGUCAACGAGUAAUUUUGAUGUAAAAUACUAUUUGGCCUUAAAGAUCGGCCAAAUGCUUCAAUCUCUCUUUGGGUACUGGCAGGGUUCAUAAGAGAAGUGCCAGUAAGAGGAUUUGCAACAGAUUCUUUCCCUUCUGAGACAGACAUUGUCUUGUACGCAUGGUCAUUAUCAGGUGAAACUUGCUGGCAUGGAUCUCCUUUUGCUGCUUGUUCUUUCCCAACAAAACCAU